AACGUUUACAAGUAUCACAUUGUUAUCUCAGUGUAACUCUCAUAUUAACUAUUAAUUAUUACUAUUUUAUUCAUAAUAAUAAAAUUAUUAAUUUUAAGUGCAUUUGGCACGUUAAUCAAACACGAGCUCCAACCAACAACGGCAUUUGUGUUGAAUUUAUUUUUUCAUAAAACUAAUAUUUUCGCUAUAAUCCUGGCCGUAAUUAUAACUUUAAAGUUUUUCAUCAUUAGUUCAAUUUAUAAGAGCAAUGCCAAAAAAACGCGAAGGGGCUGAUUUGAGCCGUAAUACAAGUAGGUCCAGAAGUAUGAAAGAUAAAAGAUCUCACGUGUGAGCAUGCAGCAAUUGCGUCAAGAACAAUCAGAAAACACACGAGCUGAGCGCAAUGAAGUUAUUCGUUUAGAACAACGACAAUCACGCCGUUUCACGGUUAAUAGACGUAGAACAAAUGAUCAACAACGUCAAAAGGGACAUCGUGUAUUUACACCUGAUUAAUUUUUGCGUCUAGCAUUCCAGUAUGAGCCCGAUAUUGAAUAGUAUGCUCAUUCAAAAGUUGUAAUUGGUGCUAUGGAUUAGGACAGUCUUCAUUGUCAUGCUCUCAAAUUCAAAAAUUAGCCACCUGGAAUGUGUUUUGCGUCAGGAAAAGUGCACCUACUUGAAAUUGAAACACCACCUGAACCAUUAAACGGUUUACUUAUCGGUACAGAUCCAGAUUCUAACGUAUUCCUGAAGUCAAUUCCAACAUUCAAUUCAUGCUUUCAAAAUACAUCGUUUGUAGCAACAGAAAUAGUUCGAAAUAUUAACAUUCAAAAUGAGAGGCAAAGUUUAUCAUAACAUGGGCUCAUUGCUGCCAAUGCCGAACGAACCACAUACAUUUUUACAAAUCUACUUCAUGGGCGUCGAGGAUUCCGGAAGCGCACUUGCCAAUCGCGUGAAUACACAUUGUGACUAUAAUAACCUUGAUUAAUUUUUUGCCAGGCGCAUCGUCAUCGACUUCAACGCUCUAUUGAGCGAGCACAAUGAAUUGUUGAAAAUAUUCAAAUCACACAUGCACAAAUUACAAAGCGAUAAUCACGCUAUUGUCAUUAAUACUGAUAAAACACCAGCUGAAGAACAUAUUCGCAGAUUCAACGUACCUCUUGUUGAAGACGUUGCUGGAAUCAUGGUUGGCGUUCUUACAGGUACACGAGAAAUUGUGAUUAAAUAAUAAUCCUCUGUUCAUUGCUGAUACACAUCGUUCAUAUGCCGCUCUCCAGUAUCCGCUAAUAUUCUGGAAGGGGCAAGACGGAUAUUGCAUAAACAUAAAACAACGAGAUCUCGUAUCAGGAGCUGAAAAAACAAGAACGUUAGCUCGAAAAAUUAUUAUGCGUACUGAUUAAUGAUUCGGCGCGGCCUGGACAACGUCAUUUUAUGAUGUAGUGGUUUUGUCAACAAUUCAUGGUCGACAUAUACGCAAAGAUAGAGGACGAACGACUACGAUUCUUACAAUAUAAUCAACUUACCGUGCGAUUCUGUAACUUGAGACAGUCUCAAGUCUCUAAAUUUGAGAUUUUAAGUUAGAGACAAUUUUUGAGACUUGAGAUGAUAUUGCUAUUCUGUAAGUGACAGUCACAAAAUCUAUUACAUUUCAUUAUUCAGAGAUGUUUUUACACUUGAAUGAAAAUAAAUAUGUCGAUAACAAAUAUUAAAUUUUCUAUAACAUAGUCAAAAAACAUAAUUAUCAAUGAAAAUAAAAAGAAAAGUUGAC
Long non-coding RNA from Bactrocera neohumeralis, 1744 nucleotides. RefSeq lists it as uncharacterized. The record is from RefSeq and is a predicted model, not a curated record. Lineage: Eukaryota; Metazoa; Arthropoda; Insecta; Diptera; Tephritidae. The transcript is spliced from 3 exons.